CCUACGGGAGGCAGCAGUGGGGAAUAUUGGGCAAUGGGCGAAAGUCUGACCCAGCAAUGCCGCGUGAAGGAAGAAGGUCUUCGGAUUGUAAAGUUCUUUUGUCAGGGAAGAGUAAAAUGCCGGUACCUGCGAAAUAAGCUCCGGCUAACUACGUGCCAGCAGCCGCGUUAAUACGUAGGGAGCAAGCGUUGUUCGGAUUUAAGGGGCGGAAAGGGGUUGUAGGCGGUUAUACAAGUUAGAAGGGAAAGACCGAGGGCUUAACUCGGGUGCUGCUUCUAAAACUGUAAGUCUUGAGUGCGGUAGAGGUAAGUGGAAUGCCUAGUGUAGCGGUGGAAUGCGUAGAUAUUAGGAGGAACACCAGAGGCGAAGGCGGCCAACUGGACGGCAACUGACGCUGAGGCACGAAAGCGUGGGGAGCAAACAGGAUUAGAUACCCGAGUAGUC
RNAcentral lists this ribosomal RNA (444 nucleotides) under uncultured bacterium. Its description in RNAcentral is "partial 16S ribosomal RNA". It matches the Rfam family "Bacterial small subunit ribosomal RNA", at positions 338 to 795 of the family's 1533-position model. The record is from RNAcentral.